UGGGGAAUCUUGGACAAUGGGCGCAAGCCUGAUCCAGCCAUGCCGCGUGAGUGAAGAAGGCCUUCGGGUCGUAAAGCUCUUUUUACCAGGGACGAUAAUGACGGUACCUGGAGAAUAAGCCCCGGCAAACUUCGUGCCAGCAGCCGCGGUAAUACGAAGGGGGCUAGCGUUGUUCGGAAUUACUGGGCGUAAAGCGCACGUAGGCGGAUUGUUAAGUCAGAGGUGAAAUCCCGGAGCUCAACUUCGGAACUGCCUUUGAUACUGGCUGUCUCGAGGUCGAGAGAGGUUGGUGGAAUUCCUAGUGUAGAGGUGAAAUUCGUAGAUAUUAGGAAGAACACCAGUGGCGAAGGCGGCCAACUGGAUCGGUACUGACGCUGAGGUGCGAAAGCGUGGGGAGCAAACAGGAUUAGAUACCCCCGUAGUCCCUGAGCGGGCUGGCAAGGCGCAU
This 448-nucleotide ribosomal RNA is filed under the name uncultured bacterium. RNAcentral's name for it is "bacterial SSU rRNA". It matches the Rfam family "Bacterial small subunit ribosomal RNA", at positions 355 to 825 of the family's 1533-position model. The record is from RNAcentral.